This is a long non-coding RNA of Mus musculus (house mouse), 700 nucleotides long. RefSeq annotates it as predicted gene, 33311. The transcript has 4 exons. The record is from RefSeq and is a predicted model, not a curated record. NCBI's taxonomy places the organism in Eukaryota, Metazoa, Chordata, Mammalia, Rodentia, Muridae.
UCCCCUACAGCUCCCCACCUCGUUUUGUAGUUUUAUUUGACAACAAUUCUUCAGACUUUGUUGAGACGUGAUUUCUACUAAGAACAUUGUGAAUGUCUGUGCCAUCUACAUCAUUCAUGGAGCUGAUCAAUUCUACUAUAGAUUAAUCUACUGCCUUUAGUUUCCUCUAGGUUCACUUCCUAUCUCUCAUCAAUUCGAGCUGCUGAAGUCAUGAUCUGUGAGCUCAAAAUGAAAGAUAUUAUUCUCACAGCCUUUGAGGAAACACCCAGGAAGGAGGAAUGCACAGUGUUGUCAGGACCCAUGUUAGGACUCAUCCACAGCUGGCACAGUCUGACUCAUCCCAGGCAAACACCCAGAGUGAAGUUGUAUGAAAGAGACAGCAGUGAUCAAAGGGAAAACGUGUGUUCAUCCUUCAUUCUGUAAACAUCUUAUGAAAAUACGAUUUAAGUGAUGUGUGGUUUCAAGAACAGAAAAUGUGGCAGCCAAAUGUUGAUACUGAGAUGGGAGAUCCUAGGUCUUGAUCAGUACUCAGGAGCCAUGGUGUUCUGAUGCAUUUAUGAUCCUCUGGGAGAAAAAAAAACAGGUAUUUUUAUGAGAAAGAAAGACAACAUUUUAUCUGUAACUGCCUCAGGAAUCUAUGUCCUCUGACAAUGACUCAAAGUAAAAGUUACAAACCCAUACCAGCACAAUAAAAGUUACA